UCAACUAAAGAGAAGGUACCAUUCGGAUACUCAAGAAAAGAUGUCUUGCUGAUAGGUCUUGGAGUGACCUUACUAGGCUACGGUUUGAAGGGCGGAUUGGAGUUUGUUGGAGUUGAUCCUUUGAAAGCAGGCAAUGCUGUUCAGUUGAUUCUUGUCUUGGGCCUGACAGUUGGGUGGAUUUCCACAUACAUAUUUAGAGUCUCAAAUAAAGAUAUGACUUAUGCUCAGCAGUUAAAAGCCUAUGAGGUCAAAGUCAUGGAG
This 261-nucleotide unclassified non-coding RNA is filed under the name Hevea brasiliensis (rubber tree). The record is from RNAcentral. Lineage: Eukaryota; Viridiplantae; Streptophyta; Magnoliopsida; Malpighiales; Euphorbiaceae.